This 163-nucleotide ribosomal RNA is filed under the name Vigna unguiculata (cowpea). RNAcentral describes it as "5.8S ribosomal RNA". It matches the Rfam family "5.8S ribosomal RNA". Rfam says of the family: 5.8S ribosomal RNA (5.8S rRNA) is a component of the large subunit of the eukaryotic ribosome. It is transcribed by RNA polymerase I as part of the 45S precursor that also contains 18S and 28S rRNA. The record is from RNAcentral. Lineage: Eukaryota; Viridiplantae; Streptophyta; Magnoliopsida; Fabales; Fabaceae.
AAAUGACUCUCGGCAACGGAUAUCUCGGCUCUUGCAUCGAUGAAGAACGCAGCGAAAUGCGAUACUUGGUGUGAAUUGCAGAAUCCCGUGAACCAUCGAGUCUUUGAACGCAAGUUGCGCCUGAAGCCAUUAGGUUGAGGGCACGCCUGCCUGGGUGUCACAC